CUUUCCCCACACUGCAGGUGCCUACUCUGCUAACAUUUACCCGGCCGGGAGAAAGGCCACGAGGGAGCUCAGUGUUCCAGCUCCUCACUGCUCCCUCGCACACGCUGACUGAAGUGAAGCCGGGCGCCGGAAUAUGACGUCAUAUUCCAGCACCACUAAACCGCGUGAGGAGCUGGAAGGACCCCAGGGAGAUCCCCACAUCAGCUGCAUAAGGUAAGGAGCAAUAACUAAAAGUAUGUGUGUGUCUGUGAGUAUGUCAGUGAGUCUGUCUGUCUGUCAGUAUGUGUGUGUCAGUGGGAGGAUGUGAUUUGGCACAG
Pelobates cultripes (western spadefoot toad) is the source of this 317-nucleotide non-coding RNA. The record is from the annotation of a GenBank genome assembly. NCBI's taxonomy places the organism in Eukaryota, Metazoa, Chordata, Amphibia, Anura, Pelobatidae.